This 261-nucleotide ribosomal RNA is filed under the name uncultured bacterium. RNAcentral's name for it is "partial 16S ribosomal RNA". It matches the Rfam family "Bacterial small subunit ribosomal RNA", at positions 524 to 784 of the family's 1533-position model. The record is from RNAcentral.
UACAGAGGGUGCAAGCGUUGCUCGGAAUUACUGGGCGUAAAGCGUGCGCAGGCGGUUUCGUAAGACAGACGUGAAAUCCCCGGGCUCAACCUGGGAACUGCAUCCAAAACUACUGAGCUAGAGUACGGUAGAGGGUAGUGGAAUUUCCUGUGUAGCGGUGAAAUGCGUAGAUAUAGGAAGGAACACCAGUGGCGAAGGCGACUACCUGGACUGAUACUGACACUGAGGUGCGAAAGCGUGGGGAGCAAACAGGAUUAGAUA